Molecule: ribosomal RNA, 788 nt
Filed under: Microbacterium aurantiacum
Lineage: Bacteria; Bacillati; Actinomycetota; Actinomycetes; Micrococcales; Microbacteriaceae
Description: partial 16S ribosomal RNA
Rfam family: Bacterial small subunit ribosomal RNA
Source: RNAcentral
ACACAUGCAAGUCGAACGGUGAAGCCAAGCUUGCUUGGUGGAUCAGUGGCGAACGGGUGAGUAACACGUGAGCAACCUGCCCUGAACUCUGGGAUAAGCGCUGGAAACGGUGUCUAAUACUGGAUAUGAGCUGCGGAGGCAUCUUCGUGGUUGGAAAGAUUUUUCGGUUUGGGAUGGGCUCGCGGCCUAUCAGCUUGUUGGUGAGGUAAUGGCUCACCAAGGCGUCGACGGGUAGCCGGCCUGAGAGGGUGACCGGCCACACUGGGACUGAGACACGGCCCAGACUCCUACGGGAGGCAGCAGUGGGGAAUAUUGCACAAUGGGCGGAAGCCUGAUGCAGCAACGCCGCGUGAGGGAUGACGGCCUUCGGGUUGUAAACCUCUUUUAGCAGGGAAGAAGCGUGAGUGACGGUACCUGCAGAAAAAGCGCCGGCUAACUACGUGCCAGCAGCCGCGGUAAUACGUAGGGCGCAAGCGUUAUCCGGAAUUAUUGGGCGUAAAGAGCUCGUAGGCGGUUUGUCGCGUCUGCUGUGAAAACCCGAGGCUCAACCUCGGGCCUGCAGUGGGUACGGGCAGACUAGAGUGCGGUAGGGGAGAUUGGAAUUCCUGGUGUAGCGGUGGAAUGCGCAAAUAUCAGGAGGAACACCGAUGGCGAAGGCAGAUCUCUGGGCCGUAACUGACGCUGAGGAGCGAAAGGGUGGGGAGCAAACAGGCUUAGAUACCCUGGUAGUCCACCCCGUAAACGUUGGGAACUAUUUGUGGGGUCCAUUUCCACGGAUUCCGUGACGC